This is a non-coding RNA of Rattus norvegicus (Norway rat), 827 nucleotides long. NCBI's taxonomy places the organism in Eukaryota, Metazoa, Chordata, Mammalia, Rodentia, Muridae. The record is from Rfam.
GGAUUAGCAGGGAAUGAAGCCCCUGUUGAGCUUGACUCUAGUCUAGCAUGGUGAAGAGACAUGAGAACAGUGCAAUAAGUAGAAGACCUCUGAUGCUCUCUGGUUCCCUGGGAGGGGUCAGGGUGAGGUCCACCAGCCUCACAGACUACAGUGAAAUGCUACUUCUCAUCAUUUUCCACUGACCCAGGGAGACAGGGGUGGCUUGAGCCAUGAGUGGUUCUCACUUCUGGCACCAAGUGUCUGUCACACAUAUUGUAUGCUAUGGCCCAUUCUGGGAACAGUGCCAUGUUCAUCGUUUGACUGGGGAGUUACACUUGUCAAACAGUAAUGCAGGUGACCUACAGCGAACUCACAGAUGACGGAAACUAUCCUUAAAGCUUGCUCUACCAUGAUUUUCAUUACACAUACAAACCAUGAAUGCAGGGCAUGAAGAUCCUUCUGAAUUUUUGGUUUUUAAGUAGGAAUUUUCAGAAAAGUUACCACAGGAAUAACUGCCUUCUGGAAGGAAAGUGUUCAUAGUGACAUAGUUUUAUUGACCCUGCAAUGUCUGCUGUUCUUGUGAUUUUGAAGCAGGAUUCACCUAGGGUUGGAUUGUUGACCCAGUAAUAGGGAAUGUGAGCUGGAUUAGAACAUCAUGAGACAGAUUCGUUUUACCUACUGAUUAUGUGCUUUUUGCCUUUGAAUCCUGCUCAGUAUGAGAGGAACAAUAUGUUCAGACAUUUGGUGUGUAUGCUCCACUGAGAAGACAAUGAGCAAGACUACCACUUGUAGAAUUAUGACUUAAGGCCCCUAAGUUGAUAUUCCACCGAUGCAGGGCUGUAAAAUGG